AUUGAACGCUGGCGGCAUGCUUUACACAUGCAAGUCGAACGGCAGCGCGGGCUUCGGCCUGGCGGCGAGUGGCGAACGGGUGAGUAAUGCAUCGGAACGUGCCCAGUAGUGGGGGAUAGCCCGGCGAAAGCCGGAUUAAUACCGCAUACGACCUGAGGGUGAAAGCGGGGGACCGAAAGGCCUCGCGCUAUUGGAGCGGCCGAUGUCGGAUUAGCUAGUUGGUGGGGUAAAGGCUUACCAAGGCGACGAUCCGUAGCUGGUCUGAGAGGACGACCAGCCACACUGGGAAUGAGACACGGCCCAGACUCCUACGGGAGGCAGCAGUGGGGAAUUUUGGACAAUGGGGGCAACCCUGAUCCAGCCAUGCCGCGUGCGGGAAGAAGGCCUUAGGGUUGUAAACCGCUUUUGUUCGGGAAGAAAUCCUCUGGGCUAAUACCCCGGGGGGAUGACGGUACCGGAAGAAUAAGCACCGGCUAACUACGUG
RNAcentral lists this ribosomal RNA (484 nucleotides) under uncultured bacterium. RNAcentral's name for it is "partial 16S ribosomal RNA". It matches the Rfam family "Bacterial small subunit ribosomal RNA", at positions 29 to 507 of the family's 1533-position model. The record is from RNAcentral.